Molecule: long non-coding RNA, 490 nt
Filed under: Pogona vitticeps (central bearded dragon)
Lineage: Eukaryota; Metazoa; Chordata; Lepidosauria; Squamata; Agamidae
Description: lncRNA (ENSPVIG00000015871.1)
Source: RNAcentral
AAAUUUCCCAUAGGAAUGGACUGAAAACCAAUUAAUCCGUUCUGGCUGUUUUUUUGUUAUGUAGAGGUGCGUUCGUGCAUUAACCAAAGCUGGUUAAUAUGUACUCUACCACUAUGGGGAGAAUUUUUUUUAACCUCAGAUGACCUCCAGGAGCAGAGAAGGGAAAGAAUAAAUCAGUAACACAGGAGGAAUCACACUGCAGAGAACAGCAAGGGGGAAGAAGCCUAGCCACUCUUAACUUUAUAUUUUAACAUCUAUGCCAGAUGACUUAAUGCCACGUCAGCUUUGUCUACUGCUAAUGGAGAAUGGGGUGCAGACGAAGAAGAUUAUGCACAUUAUCUCCUAUUAAUCCCUUACAUCUAUGCCAUACAUCAAUAAAAAUGUUUGAAUAUUUUUAUGCUUUUCCUUAGAGGUGUAGUUUUCCUUUAAUUAUUUAUUUACGUAGUGUUUCCAAUACAAAAUAGUGCUCAAGGUGGCUUAUAGUCUUCAU